GGUAAUACGAAGGGGGCUAGCGUUGUUCGGAAUCACUGGGCGUAAAGCGCACGUAGGCGGACUUGCCAGUCAGGGGUGAAAUCCCGGGGCUCAACCUCGGAACUGCCUUUAAAACUGUUGGUCUGGAGUUCGAGAGAGGUGAGUGGAAUUCCGAGUGUAGAGGUGAAAUUCGUAGAUAUUCGGAGGAACACCAGUGGCGAAGGCGGCUCACUGGCUCGAUACUGACGCUGAGGUGCGAAAGCGUGGGGAGCA
Molecule: ribosomal RNA, 252 nt
Filed under: uncultured bacterium
Lineage: Bacteria
Description: partial 16S ribosomal RNA
Rfam family: Bacterial small subunit ribosomal RNA
Source: RNAcentral